This 497-nucleotide ribosomal RNA is filed under the name uncultured bacterium. Its description in RNAcentral is "partial 16S ribosomal RNA". It matches the Rfam family "Bacterial small subunit ribosomal RNA", at positions 28 to 507 of the family's 1533-position model. The record is from RNAcentral.
GACGAACGCUGGCGGCGUGCCUAAUACAUGCAAGUUGAGCGCUGAAGGUUGGUACUUGUGCCAACUGGAUGAGCAGCGAACGGGUGAGUAACGCGUGGGUAAUCUGCCUUUGAGCGGGGGACAACAUUGGGAAACGAAUGCUAAUACCGCAUAAAACCUUUAAACACAAGUUUCAAGUUUGAAGGAUGCAAUUGCAUCACUCAAAGAUGAUCCCGCGUUGUAUUAGCUGGUUGGUGAGGUAAAGGCCCACCAAGGCGAUGAUACAUCGCCGACCUGGGAGGGUGAUCGGCCACAUUGGGACUGAGACACGGCCCAAACUCCUACGGGAGGCAGCAGUAGGGAAUCUUCGGCAAUGGACGAAAGUCUUACCGAGCAACGCCGCGGUAGGGAAGAAGGGUUUCGGAUCGUAAAACUCUGUUGGUAGAGAAGAACGUUGGUGAGAGUGGAAAGCUCAUCAAGUGACGGUAACUACACAGAAAGGGACGGCUAACUACGUG